AUUGAACGCUGGCGGCAGGCCUAACACAUGCAAGUCGAGCGGAUGACGGGAGCUUGCUCCUUGAUUCAGCGGCGGACGGGUGAGUAAUGCCUAGGAAUCUGCCUGGUAGUGGGGGACAACGUUUCGAAAGGAACGCUAAUACCGCAUACGUCCUACGGGAGAAAGCAGGGGACCUUCGGGCCUUGCGCUAUCAGAUGAGCCUAGGUCGGAUUAGCUAGUAGGUGAGGUAAUGGCUCACCUAGGCGACGAUCCGUAACUGGUCUGAGAGGAUGAUCAGUCACACGGGAACUGAGACACGGUCCAGACUCCUACGGGAGGCAGCAGUGGGGAAUAUUGGACAAUGGGCGAAAGCCUGAUUCAGCCAUGCCGCGUGUGUGAAGAAGGUCUUCGGAUUGUAAAGCACUUUAAGUUGGGAGGAAGGGUUGUACGUUAAUACCGUGCAAUUUUGACGUUACCGACAGAAUAAGCACCGGCUAACUCUGUGCCAGCCGCCGCGGUAA
Molecule: ribosomal RNA, 500 nt
Filed under: uncultured bacterium
Lineage: Bacteria
Description: partial 16S ribosomal RNA
Rfam family: Bacterial small subunit ribosomal RNA
Source: RNAcentral